UGAGCAUCCGUGGACACUAAAAAGCCCGCGACCGGAAGUGGGGUGUGCCCGAGACUCCUGGGAAAUGUAGUUCAGCCUCCCAACGGCCCCGGCCCAGCCAAAUGGCUCGGCCUCCUCGGGCACCAGAACCAAGGGGCGGGGGCGCGUGACCGUCCCGUUUGGAAGCCAUGGGGAGUGGAGGCUCAUCUGCCCACGAUCACCGCAGGCAGGCCCCAGACGGUUGCGGAACCGACGAGCCCAGCCUGUCUCCGUGGUAACCGGCUGGCCGCAGAGGACUGUGGGAAGUGUAGUUGGGCAGGACCGGCCGGUGCUCGAGGUCAGAGGGGUUGCCGUUAUACCACCGGCCCCUUCGGGCAGAACGAUUUUGCGGCGUCCGGGCGACGUCGUCCAGCCGUCACUUUGGCCUCUGAUCACCCAGGCAGGUGGGUGGCCCCCCUGGGAAUAAGUUCGGCUGAGAUUUGCGUAGACUCACACAGUGGAUCAUAGUGAUGAGAGGGGGAUCCGAGUGGAUCAGAUUGGAGCCUUUAGAGGGCAUCUAGUCCAAUCCUCUAUACUGUUAGAGAAGGGGGUACCCAAGUCCAGAGAGUGUCAAGUGAUUUCCCCCAGAUCUGCUCACGCCUUUAUUUCCAACACAAGCACAGUGCCUGGCACAGAGUUGACGCCCGAGCGUUUGUUAAGUGUCACUUCGCACUAAGGACAAACUGCUGAAAUACUUCAACAAAUUACAAGAUAAAAAGGAAAAAAAGAAUUUAUGAGGGAAGUGAACCUGAAGAGACCUGUCAACUAAAUGCAACCUGUAGACCUUAUUUGGGUCAUGAUUCUGACAACCAAUUGAGGAUUUUUUUUUUUUUUUAAAUCAAGGAAAUGUGAACAUGAAUGAUAUUAAGGAAUUACUGUUUAAAAAUUUUAGUUGUGAUAAUGGUAUUGGGGUUUAUGCUUUACAAAGAAAAAGACACAUACUGCAGAUCUUAUGAGUGAAAUGAUGCCUGAGAUUUGCUUGAAAAACAUGCAAUGUGGUGGGGUAGGGGAGAGUAGAUGAAAGAUUGGCAUGGUUACUUCCCUUCUAGCUCAGUUGGUAAAGAAUUUGCCUGCAAUGCAGACCAGGGUUCAGUUCCUGGGUGGGAAGAUCCCCUGGAGAAGGAAGUGGCUACCCACCCCAGUAUUCUUGCCUGGAGAAUUCCAUGGACAGAGAAGCCUCGCAGGCCAUAUGUGGUCCAUGGGGUCACAAGAGGCAGAUGCGACUCAAAGACUAAACCACCAUAUAAUUACUGGAGAUGGGGAUGUGCCCAGGAGAUUACUAUUCUGUUAUCAUAUAUACUCCCCAAAACAUCAAGUGUAAUUUAAUUCGAAUCUACUAGAGAUACAUACUGAGGGGGGAAAAAAGAUAUACUGUCUAACAUUUAUUUUUAAAAUACUCCAUAGGGAUUUACCAGUGGCCCAGUAGCUAAAACCAGGAUCCCAAUGCAAGGGGCCCAAGUUCAAUCCCUGGUCAGGGAAGUAGAUCCCUAAGUUCGAAUGCCGCAACUAAAACAAAUCUCACAUGUUGCAAUCAAGAUCAAAGAUCCUGCGUGCUGCAGCUAAGACCCAGCACAGCCAAAUAAAUAUUGAAAGGAAAAAAAAAUACUACACACACACAAAAGUAUGGUGGGGCGAGCUAGAAACAGGAAUGGCAGGAAAUGAAUAGCUACGGAGGUUGGGUGAUGGGAACAUGAGAGUUUGUUGUAUUAUUGUAUUCUUUCUAGUGGGAUUGAAAAUUUCCAUAAUCAAGGUACUUUGAUUUUUUUCAAAAAACUUGUGUAUUUCAGAACAUUUCUGAAAUUAAAGAAGCUCAUGAAGAGUUUAUCAGAAACAUAACUCUCCCACGGCACAAGUUAAGGCUCCUUGGGGACUUCUCCAGUCAAGAAUGACCCCAGUAAUGGUGGGGGCUGUGUCCUUGGCCCCCCCCCCCCCCCCCCCGCCUGAUCCAGUCCCAUAGACCGGAGUCUGGGGAACCUCCCAGAGGGGAGGUUGAGCAGCUGGCCUGCCCCAGAGAAGAGUUUCGAGCAGGAGAGUGAAGAGAGGAGCCAGGAAGGUGACCAGAGUGACCAGAACUGCCAGCCAGACAGAUGUAAAGCUCUUUGAGGAAGAACCACCCUGUGUCCCUUGGACUCACAGCACCAAGGGACACCGAGCACCGAGGGACUCGGGAUGACGUGGGGAUCGGUGACUGUAUACAGCUAUGGACGCAGACAGAUGGAUUUGUGGCUCAGGGUCAUCACGCAUGGAGACACGCUUACCCCAGCCUGAAGACAUGACCUGCCUUCUCGGGGAUAGUUGUCGGCCAUUCUCUUCCGAGUCACACAGGAAGAAGGUGAUCUCAUCUUUAUUGCCACUCUUCCCCGACCCCGACCUGAAAGCAGGAUUAGCCCUGAUGUCCAUAAGGUGGCAGAGGCCCUUGGCUCUGUCUGGGAGGCAUUGCUGGCUGUCAUGUGUUGUGCUAACCUUGGGAGUGACCUUGAUUGGGGAGGCAGGGAACAAGCAAGAAAUUAGUAUGUUGGAGAGCUGGCCAGUUUCCCGGUUAAGGAGGGCUGGCUCAGGGUCCACCCCCAAGAUGAACUUGGAGCUCUUUGAGAGCAAGACCUAUGUCUGAAGCAUCUCUGUAUUCAUAGUGCCUCAAUUAACACCUGGCACGUAGCAGGUGUUCAUCCAACACUGGGCGCUCCUGUAGUUGCCAGCAACCAGAGUUACCAGCAAGGAGGUAACAGGAAAACAGAUGUUAACGACUGUACUGAAAGGCCCCACCUGUGCUGACCACCACAAAGGCAUCAUCCUUUGCUAUAGAGCAGAGUUCUGGGUCCCAAGCACAAAAUCCAGGAACAUCUCUUGUCUUUUGUUAACUGCAAAAUCUCUAUCUCCCCUACAAAAAAAAAAAAAACACAGGGACAGACUCUGUGUAUAUAUCCAUGGAUUUAUAUAGCCAUGGCGUGCUCUUCUAAAUGUCUUUAAAAUCUAUUAAGUUAGAAAUGUUGGAGGUGGUGAUGAUAAGAGCUAGUCCCUAGAUGUGGCAUUGCCCAUCAGAACUGCGUUUCCUAGAAAGCCAAGGCUGCUUCUGAACAGCUGAACCUUGAACCCAGUAAAGCCUUGAACCCGGUGAAAGGAUGAGUAGAUCGUGGAGCGUUAAGGAGAAAAAGGGAGGGUCCUUGCCAGCCGCCUCUUUGCCUGCUUACCAGAGGCUCGCAAGCUCACAUGGCGGUCUCUGGGCAGGAGGACAGCUGGUCACUGGGUUUCUGUGCUCCUGUCCUGGGAGUUUAGAGCUGGAACGUCACUUACAGUGGAUCUUCAGAUACCCUCUCAGAUCACUCCUCGAAGGGCUUAUCCCAGGAACAAAUCAAAUAGGAAGUGAUAGAAACAGGCAGAGGAGUUUGAAAUGGCUAAACCAGGGAAGGCUGUUGGGGGAGAGGGGAUUGGAGGGACAGGGACUGUAAGCUCAGCGAGGUUAGAGACUCUUUAACUCCUGGGGGGCUGGGUGAAGGCUGUUCCAAAGGCCUCUAGGAAAUCGUUCAAGAAACUAGAAGGAAAGCUGUCAAGUGCUUCAUGGGGUGCAAAGUCACCCCCCCAGCCCCACUCACCACCGUGGGGGGCCCCAGUGGAGCUCCCCAUCAGAACCGCCACGCCACGCCAGCUCUUUCAAUGGGCGCCGUCCAGUGGGCUCUCCCCUGGGGCUUGGCCCCACCUGAGCGUGUGAUAGGCUCUGAUGACAACAGUCACUCACAUGCAUUUAGUGCCUCACACACAGGGUCUCAUUUAAUCCUCCCAACAACGCUUGAAAUGGAAUGUUUCUAUCCUCACGUUAAAAAUGAAGAAACUAAGACCUGGAGAGGUGCAAUAACUUUCCCAAGGUCAUGCAACUAAGAAGUAGAGGAGCGAGGCUUAGAAUCCAGUCUUGCACGAAUGUUCUCAUUUUCGCGUUGUGGGAUUUUUCAUUCCCUUUGCUGGAAUCACCAGUCUGUUUUCUGUCCCUGUUACGUGGUCCUGCUUCUCCCGUCUCUUCUGUGGCCUGCCAAAGCCACAAAAUGGUUUCUAAGUUCCAAGUCCAGUGGGUACCAGAUGCUGCCAGGCCCUAUUAAAGCCAUGUUCAUGAGAGAGCCCGGCUUCCUACUAGCAGUCCCUGGAAUCUCUCCUGUGGGAAUUCGGGGGAUAUUCCGAGUCAGGGCAGACUUAAGAAACUGAUUAUGCUGUUCAUUCUGUAAGUCAAGUAACAGGCCCUCAGAGUGAGUGACCUGAACAGCUGGAGCCAGCUGGGCAGGUUCAGCUGCAGCCACAGGUCAAGGGCCUUGGUUCAUCUGCCAGCCGGAUUCCUCUCUUCUCCACUUGGCAUCCACUGAAAAGGGACUGAAAUGUGCAAAAUGGCCUUUUCCCUCCUGUGUCCACCUGGCGUCUCUCUAGUAGACUGGCCUAAUUUCCUCAUCUUGUUGCCCUGGGCUCCAGGAGCCACCUCCCACACCCUCUGUCCUGCCCCACUCCCAUACCCAUCUCCUUCAGUCCAGCUGGCUGUGUUGUAUCACAUGACUCUGCCUCUGUCCUCCUCACACCACACACACACACACACACACUCACACACUCAGGCAGGUCAAUGAGCCAGGAUCUGUGUACACUGGUCAACAACUUGUGAAGUCCCCUGACUCAGGGAAUGUUUGGAAAGCCAGUCAGGCCAGGCAGAUUCCUCUUUUAGGAAAUUUGAACCUCCAAAUCAGGCUGCAUGGGCAGUGUGUGACAGGAGGUCAUGAGGGCAAGUAGGGCCAGGUGCUGGCCGGAAGUACACUGAGAUGGAAGCUUGGAGAUUGAAGAAAGGCAAAACAAUACUUAUCAUUGGGGGAUUAAUGAGCCUCUUUGGGAAGAAGAUAAAGGAUGUCGAGAUUAGAGGCAGAACUCCAGGAAAGGCAGAGAGAGGAGCCAGUCCUAGAGCCUCCCCAAGGCUCGCCAGGCCUGCCUCACCCAUGUGAGGCAGCAGGCUCCUUACUUAGUCCCUCUGCUGUCUGUUGGCUCAGAAUUGGGCAUGUGACAGUUCUGCCAACAUAACUUAUGGGGAAAUGGCUGGGGGACCUUCUGGGAAGAUUUUGUUUUCUGAUAAAAGGAGAAUGAAGAGGCCCAUCUCUUCCUCCUGCUUUGAACAGGGAUGUUUGAGAUGUGAUAUUUGGAGCUGUGGCAGCCAUUUUGAGACCAGGUGGCAACGAAACUAAGGGAGAAAGCCAACAUAGCAAGGUUGGCCGAGUAGACAGACAAAGCCUAGGUCCUCGAUGAUACCGUUGAGCCACCAUACCUAUCCGGGAACCGCCUACUUCCAGUCUUACUGAUCUUUAAAUUGAACCGUCUUUAUUUUCUAAGCACAUUUCUGCUAUUUUCAGCCUAAAAGGCAUUCUUAGCCAGUCAAUACAACACUCCUCCGAACUUCCCAGUCAUCAACUCCUUAGAGCCCCCACGGCUCUUGGUACAGCUCCAAAUGGAAAAUCAGCCCAAUUUAGACACUGGAAACCUUAAUUGUAUGGUAGGAAAUACAGGUCAAGAUUGGUCAUAGCCCACACAGGCAAGCAGCUUGUACACUUAGUUCCGAUUCCUGGAGCCUACCGGGCACUGAUGAGGAAAGAAAGAUUCAGGACAGUUCCAGAUGCAUGAGCCUGGGUCUUCUAAAUUGGGGCUCCAUGAGGAACUUUAGAACAAAUCAGCGUGGAAUCGGUGGGGGGGGUGGGGGUGGGGUGGGGAGGUGAGUGUUAGUCCCUGGAGGCAGAGCCUGAGCAUGGACCAGAAGGCCAUGGCAGAAGGAGAAGCAAGUUGGAAUUGGCAAAUGGUGAGUUAGGUUGGGUGAAUUCUGGAGGAGGCCGGUGUCACACAGCAGGGUUUUAUGAGCCCCAUAUACUAGGUGAAGGAAAUGUAUGGCAGCUAGAGCUUAACUGAUGGAAAACUAGGCUUUGUAGUUAACUCUCCAGCCAGCCUAAGUGACAUUUCAUAUCCUUUGGGGAACACGGUGCCCUGACUUGAGGCCACUUCCCGCUUUCUCCAUGCCUUGUCCCUUUGCCACCUGGCCCUUCUUUCUUUAGCUUUCCUUCCCAUCUUCUCUGAGCAAAGCCAGGAGACAGAAACGCACAGGACCUGAAUUGCUUCUUCCUCAAUUGGGGAAUGGAUAUAGUGGCAAGCAAGGAUGUCUCCUAGAAGACUUAGAAUCCCAGGCGAGGGAUAAGGAGUUUGGUUGGGAGGUGAAAACGCAGUCGGUGGAUAAGGACUAGAUGAAGCUUUCUUCUGAUCCAAUUUUCAUCACAUAACGUGGUUUUUGUGUUGCUUCAACACAAGAAAAUGUGCCUGACCCUUGCUUCAUGAAAAGAAGAAUUGAACUUAGGAACUCUAGCCCUUCCUCUUUAAAUGUCUAGUUUUAAAUAUAAAGUGAAACCGGUAUCCUCCUCAUGUAGCUGUCAGAUGCAUUCAGAACUGGAGAAAAAUUGCCCUGCCCUUUCCCAACUCAAAAUAGUCUUCGGCAGUAAAGAGAGGUGGCCCAUAGAAGUUCCUCAAGCUAAUGGGGGCCGAACACCAAUGUGUUGCAAUUAGGGUAGAAUUUGCAACCUCCAGAUCCUGCCAGUAAGCCUCGCCCCCUCAACACAGUCCUUUCACACCCUCCACAAUUUAUGGAGUCCUGCCCUUGAAGGUUCAGACUAGGCUGACUCGGUUUGCCUGUUGUAUUACUUCAUUCAUUCAGCAAAGUUGGACUGAAUACCUACCAGGAAUAGAAGUUAAGCUUAUAAAAGCAAGUUUGUAAGCUUAUCUUCCUAAGUCAUUAUAUAUAUAUAUAUAAUAUAUAUAUAUAUAUAUAAUUUAUAUAUAUAUAUAUAUAUUCUAUGAGACAGAGAAAGAAAUGGAAAUGGAAAGAAAUGGAAAUCUUGGUUGCAGUGGAAGAAGCAAUAAAGUUUAAGCCCCUACUUAAUGCAAUUCAUGCUUUAACUGACAAUAAACCCUGAACCCCCUCCCCUCCUCAAAGUUACCCCAUACAUCACUAAAGAUUCUCUGAAAUCCAAUAAGGAAAAGAACUGAAGGCUUUUCCUCAUUCUCCACAAUCAAGGCUUUUCUCCAGAAUGAAUUAGCCUGAUUACUGGCUAAAAGCUCUCCCACAAUCUUUCCAAUAAGAGUGUUUCUUUCCUGUAAAUUCUCCAAAGAUGAUGCUCCACGUUGGUUCCACUCACAGGCCGCUCUCCAGCGUGAAUGAGUUCAGUGUGCCCCCACGCCUCCCCCGGGCGGCCUCCCCCAUUCACACACACGCCUGCUUCCUGUCCUGGUGAAUCAGCCCACAUUGUCCAAGGCUGGAACUCUGAUUGAAGGUUCUUCCUCAUCCCUUCUGCUCCCAGGGCUCCUAUCCACUCUGAAAUCCCAGAUGUCUAAUUAGCUCUGAGCACUGUCUAAAAGCGCUUUCACAGCUCUGACGCGCAUGUGGUCUUUCUCCAGUGUGAAUUCUCUGACGUUGAAUGAGCUUUGCUUUUCCCGAAAGCCCUUACAGUUACGGCAUUUGUAGAGUUUCUGCUGCAUGUGAAUUAGCUGGUAUCAGGAUGCUGCCGGAUGCCUCCUGCAAACGGAUUCUCUCCAAGAUGAACGUUAGGGAGGCGGGGUGCCAGGAGAAAAGUGGCCUCUGUUUCAUAACAAAGAUGUUUUCUCCAAGAAGUGCACUGUAAUAAGGAAUAAAUUCUGAAUUCUGUUCUAAGAUUUGGCCAUACCUAUCUUAUUUGUGGGUUUUCUCACUGCUUAAAAAAUGUGUAUGAAUUGCGAAUGUUCUCAUGUUCAUCCCAUUCAUGGGACGGAUUCUCCAGGAUGUCUCUGUAUUCACGGACACCUCAAAACUCAGACCUGGUCAGUGUCCCCCAGGGACCAUCUCAAUGCAGCUGCCUAUGAAUCUAUGACUGCAGAAAGUUCCCAUUCAGACCAGGUGUUCCUGGUCCCAGGCUCAUAUGAAAUUACAGGAAAUGUAAAUUUCAG
Long non-coding RNA from Bos taurus (domestic cattle), 7989 nucleotides. Lineage: Eukaryota; Metazoa; Chordata; Mammalia; Artiodactyla; Bovidae. The record is from Ensembl.